This 73-nucleotide transfer RNA is filed under the name Mustela putorius furo (domestic ferret). It matches the Rfam family "tRNA". From Rfam's summary of the family: Transfer RNA (tRNA) molecules are approximately 80 nucleotides in length. Lineage: Eukaryota; Metazoa; Chordata; Mammalia; Carnivora; Mustelidae. The record is from Rfam by way of RNAcentral.
ACCUGGCUGGCUGAGUCAGAAAAGCAUGAGACUCUUGAUCUCAUCGUCAUGAGUUCAAGCCCCAUGCUGGGUG